Molecule: long non-coding RNA, 1419 nt
Filed under: Sitophilus oryzae (rice weevil)
Lineage: Eukaryota; Metazoa; Arthropoda; Insecta; Coleoptera; Curculionidae
Description: uncharacterized LOC115877374, transcript variant X1
Source: RNAcentral
UGCCGAAUUAACUGAUCGAAGGCAAAUAAGACCAAAUUCUGAGCCUCAAAUAGAUAGUACCAUUUUUGCUGGGGCUUUAUCAUACAGGUUUUCUUCUAGUUUGUACCGCCACCCAAGAAAUGUUUUAGGUAAAUGAACCUCCAGACCAGCUGAGGGACUAGAGAAGGUCCCUACCUAGUCCCGCGAUUGGCAGUUUGGCUGGCCCCUCAAAUUUGAUUUUGCCUAAAGUCAUACAAGAUAAACUAGCCCUUCUCAAGAAGCCCUUCCCUCAAAACAACAGAAACGGCAUUGGAAAAAGAAGUUGGAAUUAACCAGUAUGUGCUCUUUAAAGAAGUAUGUUAAUGAGGCAUUAUAAUGAUAUUAUGUAGAAAUUUAAGUCUUGUAAAAAUUUGGAAACAAAGAAAAUGAAAAAUACAUACUUUACAAAUAGGUCUUAGAAGAUUGAAAAAUAAAAUAAUAUCAAUGCAUCAGUUAAUUGAUUACUUAAAAGAAAAAUAUUUGAUAAGUGAAUCAACUGAAUUGACCAUUCAGGCUUCCUUAGCUGAACCAGUACAAAGUAUUUUUGAAAGAAUGUUAAAAGGACCUGCCACACAAAAAUCCAAUCUUCUGCUACUAUCCUUUGCUUUAACAUUGUCAUUUUAUUCGCCGAAAACAUAGAAUUUAUAAAGGAUACAUAAACUGGCCCAGAGUUUUCUUAGGAGGCCUCUAAAUUCCAUUUAGUUUUCAACAAUAUUUUUGAUAUUUUUAACUCUCAGAAUGGAUUUACAAAAUAUUCAUAUAAAAAAUUAUCAAAAAUAUAAGAACAACAUACUUUUUAAUAAUUUUGAAAUAAUUAAAUUGUAUAUUAUUGGACUUACUUUAAAAGAAAGGUCAACCAUAGUCACAAAGAAAAACGGGAUUUAUGGGCUUUCUAAUUUGUAUGGAAAGCUUACAACGUAUGUAUAAAUACUAUGUAAAAGAAAAUCAAUUAUUAAAAUAUAUUUUGACUAACUGGUGGAGGUCCACGUAUACAAGAAGCAAAAACGGAAGAUAAUAAUAUAUUCAAUCAAUGUAAAAAUGAGAAGAGCAUUGUGGGAUUAAAAAACAUGAUGGUGAUAGAUUGUCUAAAACUAAUAGGAGUACUGGUAUUUCUCAAAACAAAACUGAUAGUUACAAAGAAACAGAAGAAAAGGGAAGAUAUUAAUUUACUAGACAAAAGGCUGUUCUUUUGAAAUAUGGAGAUGGGCAAAAUUCAAAGUAGUAGUAUUCAAAACAGAGAAGAACAUAAGCUAAAGAAAAAAAGGGUUGUUAGACAUUGAAAUAAAAAAAGAACAGUAAAGUUCUCAAAGAGAACUUACUUAAUAAUUUUAAUUAGUGUUUAUAUUGUAAUGUAAAAAAUGUAAUGUAUGUUAUUUCUGAAUAAAAGACAUUUAAUAAUGA